RNAcentral lists this ribosomal RNA (431 nucleotides) under uncultured bacterium. RNAcentral describes it as "bacterial SSU rRNA". It matches the Rfam family "Bacterial small subunit ribosomal RNA", at positions 355 to 796 of the family's 1533-position model. The record is from RNAcentral.
UCGAGGAUCUUUGGCAAUGGGCGCAAGCCUGACCAAGCGACGCCGCGUGCGCGAUGAAGGCCUUCGGGUUGUAAAGCGCUGUCGAGGGAGAGAAAGCCGAAAGGUUGAUCGACCCCUGGAGGAAGGACGGGCUAAGUUCGUGCCAGCAGCCGCGGUAAGACGAACCGUCCUAACGUUAUUCGGAUUCACUGGGCUUAAAGGGCGCGUAGGCUGUUUACCAAGUCCGGGGUGAAAUCUUUCGGCUUAACCGGAAAAGUGCCUUGGAUACUGGUGAACUCGAGGGAGGUAGGGGCAUGUGGAACUUCCGGUGGAGCGGUGAAAUGCGUUGAUAUCGGAAGGAACGCCGGUGGCGAAAGCGACGUGCUGGCCCUCUUCUGACGCUGAGGCGCGAAAGCUAGGGGAGCAAACGGGAUUAGAUACCCCCGUAGUCC